ACGCUCGACACCUACGGGAGGCAGCAGUGGGGAAUAUUGCACAAUGGGGGAAACCCUGAUGCAGCAACGCCGCGUGAGUGAAGAAGUAUUUCGGUAUGUAAAGCCCUAUCAGCAGGGAAGAUAAUGACGGUACCUGACUAAGAAGCUCCGGCUAAAUACGUGCCAGUAGCCGCGGUAAUCUGAGCGGGCUGGCAAGGC
This 198-nucleotide ribosomal RNA is filed under the name uncultured bacterium. Its description in RNAcentral is "partial 16S ribosomal RNA". It matches the Rfam family "Bacterial small subunit ribosomal RNA", at positions 328 to 539 of the family's 1533-position model. The record is from RNAcentral.